AUAGCAUCUAUACUGUGAAACUGCGAAUGGCUCAUUAAAUCAGUUAUCGUUUAUUUGAUAGUACCUCACUACAUGGAUAACCGUGGUAAUUCUAGAGCUAAUACAUGCUAAAAACCCCGACUUCGGGAGGGGUGUAUUUAUUAGACAAAAAACCAAUGCCCUUCGGGGCUCCUUGGUGAAUCAUGAUAACUUAACGAAUCGCAUGGCCUUGCGCCGGCGAUGGUUCAUUCAAAUUUCUGCCCUAUCAACUUUCGAUGGUAGGAUAGUGGCCUACCAUGGUAUCAACGGGUAACGGGGAAUUAGGGUUCUAUUCCGGAGAGGGAGCCUGAGAAACGGCUACCACAUCCAAGGAAGGCAGCAGGCGCGCAAAUUACCCAAUCCCGACACGGGGAGGUAGUGACAAUAAAUACUGAUACAGGGCUCUUUUGGGUCUUGUAAUUGGAAUGAGUACAAUUUAAAUACCUUAACGAGGAACAAUUGGAGGGCAAGUCUGGUGCCAGCAGCCGCGGUAAUUCCAGCUCCAAUAGCGUAUAUUAAAGUUGUUGCAGUUAAAAAGCUCGUAGUUGAACCUUGGGCCUGGCUGGCCGGUCUGCCUCACCGCAUGUACUGGUUCGGCCGGGCCUUUCCUCCUGGGGAUCCGCAUGCCCUUCACUGGGUGUGUUGGGGAACCAGGACUUUUACUUUGAAAAAAUUAGAGUGUUCAAAGCAGGCCUUUGCUCGAAUACAUUAGCAUGGAAUAAUAGAAUAGGACGUGCGGUUCUAUUUUGUUGGUUUCUAGGACCGCCGUAAUGAUUAAUAGGGAUAGUCGGGGGCAUCAGUAUUCAGUUGUCAGAGGUGAAAUUCUUGGAUUUACUGAAGACUAACUACUGCGAAAGCAUUUGCCAAGGAUGUUUUCAUUAAUCAGUGAACGAAAGUUAGGGGAUCGAAGACGAUCAGAUACCGUCGUAGUCUUAACCGUAAACUAUGCCGACUAGGGAUCGGGCGAUGUUAUUCUUUUGACUCGCUCGGCACCUUACGAGAAAUCAAAGU
Molecule: ribosomal RNA, 1029 nt
Filed under: Neodeightonia subglobosa
Lineage: Eukaryota; Fungi; Ascomycota; Dothideomycetes; Botryosphaeriales; Botryosphaeriaceae
Description: SSU rRNA
Rfam family: Eukaryotic small subunit ribosomal RNA
Source: RNAcentral